RNAcentral lists this long non-coding RNA (1265 nucleotides) under Anas platyrhynchos platyrhynchos (common mallard). RNAcentral describes it as "lncRNA (ENSAPLG00000017291.1)". Lineage: Eukaryota; Metazoa; Chordata; Aves; Anseriformes; Anatidae. The record is from RNAcentral.
AGCUAAUAGUCGGCACCAGUCUGGACAUCAUUGCAGGAGAAAGAUUCACUUCUCACGGAGAUGACUACUGCAGUUGCCCCAGCCUGUGUGAGGUCCCUGCGAGGGUCACUCUCCUGACAUCUUGCAGUAGGUGAGGACAAGGACAUAGCAUAUACCAUUUAAAUACGGAUAGUUUAACCUUGCCUAACAUUUCACCUUGGAUACUGUUGUUUUUUCAUAGCUCCCUUUUCAGAGCUAAUAUAGUAGCUUUAUGGGUGUGGAAGCAUGAUUUUUAUCUUGGCAUUGGUUUGAGGAUAAUCAGGUCAUCUGUAGAAAGCAGCCUGAACUCUGACUCCACUCAUUUAAAACCAAUGAUCUCCCCAGACUAUCUGCUUUGACUGUGUACUCCAGCAACUGAUGUUGAUUUAUAUGAAAAUCAUUUAUACUUUUUUUUUUUUUUUGUAAUUUUUGCCCAUUGUUUGCUGCAUUAAACAAGUUACUCUGCUGUAGUCAUGGUAAUUGUACAUUCUGGACUUGCUUCAGAUGCAUCUGUGCCUCAUGGGAGUCAGUCACAUGACAGCUAUACAGAGAUUUUUUUUUAUGUCAUCAAAUUGUGUCCUCUGUGCCUAUAUCUGAUGCAGGGGUCAUGAACUUUAGGUUCAGUAAUAGCAGAAAAUAGGUCUAGAUGAAGAGAGAGCCUUCUGGAGGAUUGCAUGGAUAGUACAAGCACAAAGAGAAACUGCUGACAACUAAGCUUUCCUAACUGUCAGGAGAAAGGCUGAGGAGAUGAAAUACUCUGCUCUGUUUGUGCCCUUCAGUACUAUCUCCUGUCUCCCCAGUGACAGACUCAGUAAACUUCCUGACAAUCUAAAUCCUUGCUUUGGGAAACAUAAGCCUAGGACCAUGGUGAACCAGCAACACCUUCUGAGACCAGCUUUUGGAGACUCUUACAGAAAUUUUGAUGCUGAGGUUUGCAGGGUGAAGAUUUUUUAAAGCAUUGUCUGUAUGUCCUGAGUCAUGGCACCGGCUGUCUGCAAAGCAUGGAAAAAUCUUGGUAAGGCAAGCACAGAGGGCAAAGCACAUUUGCUUCUGCCUCAACUACUGCAGAAUACAGACACAUCUGUGAUGCUGAGUCCAUGGGCUCUGUGUGUUAUAACUGAAUAUAUUUAAAUGUAGCCUUUGGCCUUGGGAAUGGAUUCUUUGAGCCCUGUGUUUCAGUCCUCCUUGGUCAUAUACAGUGCUAAGCAUAAUUUCAUCCAUAGUAUUUCAUCUGGAAACAAAUGAAG